Molecule: ribosomal RNA, 791 nt
Filed under: Penidiella sp.
Lineage: Eukaryota; Fungi; Ascomycota; Dothideomycetes; Mycosphaerellales; Teratosphaeriaceae
Description: partial large subunit ribosomal RNA
Rfam family: Eukaryotic large subunit ribosomal RNA
Source: RNAcentral
AAAUUUGAAAUCUGGCGCAAGCCCGAGUUGUAAUUUGGAGAGGAUGCUUCUAGGCAGCGGCCGGUCUAAGUUCCUUGGAACAGGACGUCACAGAGGGUGAGAAUCCCGUAUGUGACCGGUUGGCACCUUCUACGUAGCUCCUUCGACGAGUCGAGUUGUUUGGGAAUGCAGCUCUAAAUGGGAGGUAAAUUUCUUCUAAAGCUAAAUAUCGGCCAGAGACCGAUAGCGCACAAGUAGAGUGAUCGAAAGAUGAAAAGCACUUUGGAAAGAGAGUUAAAAAGCACGUGAAAUUGUUAAAAGGGAAGCGCUUGCAACCAGACUUGUCGGCGGUGUUCCGCCGGUCUUCUGACCGGUCUACUCGCCGCCGCCAGGCCAGCAUCGUCUGGGGCCGCCGGAUAAAGGCUUGGGGAAUGUGGCUCCUCCGGGAGUGUUAUAGCCUCUUGCAUAAUACGGCGUGCCUCGGGCGAGGUCCGCACUUCGGUAAGGAUGCUGGCGUAAUGGUUGUAAGCGGCCCGUCUUGAAACACGGACCAAGGAGUCGAUCAAUCGUGCGAGUGUUCGGGUGAAAAACCCUUGCGCAUAAUGAAAGUAAACGGAGGCGAGAACUUCGGUGCAUCGUCGACCGAUCCAGAUGUCUUCGGAUGGAUUUGAGUAAGAGCAUGGCUGAUCGGACCCGAAAGAUGGUGAACUAUGCCUGAAUAGGGUGAAGCCAGAGGAAACUCUGGUGGAGGCUCGCAGCGGUUCUGACGUGCAAAUCGAUCGUCAAAUUUGGGUAUAGGGGCGAAAGACUAA